Molecule: ribosomal RNA, 200 nt
Filed under: uncultured eukaryote
Lineage: Eukaryota
Description: partial 18S ribosomal RNA
Rfam family: Eukaryotic small subunit ribosomal RNA
Source: RNAcentral
GCUCCAAUAGCGUAUAUUAAAGUUGUUGCAGUUAAAAAGCUCGUAGUUGGACUUCUGACAACAGUGCCGGUCCGCCUUCAUUGGUGUGUACUAGUGCAUCUGUCGUCAUCCUUGUGGAGAACACUUGCCAUUAACUUGGUUGAGUGGGAUCUGCAUCAUUUACUGUGAAAAAAUUAGAGUGUUUAAAGCAGGCAAUCGCU